RNAcentral lists this ribosomal RNA (254 nucleotides) under uncultured bacterium. Its description in RNAcentral is "partial 16S ribosomal RNA". It matches the Rfam family "Bacterial small subunit ribosomal RNA", at positions 524 to 776 of the family's 1533-position model. The record is from RNAcentral.
UACGUAGGGGGCGAGCGUUGUCCGGAUUUAUUGGGCGUAAAGAGCUCGUAGGCGGUUUGGUAAGUUGGAUGUGAAAUCUCCAGGCUCAACUUGGAGGGGUCAUUCGAUACUGCCAUGACUAGAGUUCGGUAGGGGAGUGUGGAAUUCCUGGUGGAGCGGUGAAAUGCGCAGAUAUCAGGAGGAACACCCGUAGCGAAGGCGGCGCUCUGGGCCGGAACUGACGCUGAGGAGCGAAAGCGUGGGGAGCGAACAGG